This 341-nucleotide unclassified non-coding RNA is filed under the name soil metagenome. RNAcentral describes it as "partial contains 5.8S ribosomal RNA, internal transcribed spacer 2, and large subunit ribosomal RNA". The stretch from base 1 to 120 matches the Rfam family "5.8S ribosomal RNA", at positions 35 to 154 of the family's 154-position model. The record is from RNAcentral.
GAUGAAGAACGUAGCGAAAUGCGAUAAGUAGGGUGAAUUGCAGAAUUCAGUGAAUCAUCGAAUCUUUGAACGCACAUUGCGCCCUUUGGUAUUCCAAAGGGCAUGCCUGUUCGAGCGUCAUUUGUACUCUCAAGCUUUGCUUGGUGUUGGGCGUCUUGUCUCUAGCUUUGCUGGAGACUCGCCUUAAAGUAAUUGGCAGCCGGCCUACUGGUUUCGGAGCGCAGCACAAGUCGCACGCUCUAUCAGCAAAGGUCUAGCAUCCAUUAAGCCUUUUUUUCAACUUUUGACCUCGGAUCAGGUAGGGAUACCCGCUGAACUUAAGCAUAUCAAUAAGCGGAGGA